RNAcentral lists this ribosomal RNA (789 nucleotides) under uncultured bacterium. RNAcentral describes it as "bacterial SSU rRNA". It matches the Rfam family "Bacterial small subunit ribosomal RNA", at positions 8 to 796 of the family's 1533-position model. The record is from RNAcentral.
AGAGUUUGAUCAUGGCUCAGAUUGAACGCUGGCGGCAUGCUUUACACAUGCAAGUCGAACGGCAGCGCGGGGCAACCUGGCGGCGAGUGGCGAACGGGUGAGUAAUAUAUCGGAACGUACCCAAGAGUGGGGGAUAACGUAGCGAAAGUUACGCUAAUACCGCAUACGAUCUAAGGAUGAAAGCAGGGGACCUUCGGGCCUUGUGCUCCUGGAGCGGCCGAUAUCUGAUUAGCUAGUUGGUGAGGUAAAGGCUCACCAAGGCGACGAUCAGUAGCUGGUCUGAGAGGACGACCAGCCACACUGGGACUGAGACACGGCCCAGACUCCUACGGGAGGCAGCAGUGGGGAAUUUUGGACAAUGGGCGCAAGCCUGAUCCAGCAAUGCCGCGUGAGUGAAGAAGGCCUUCGGGUUGUAAAGCUCUUUUGUCAGGGAAGAAACGGUUGAGGCUAAUAUCCUCGGCUAAUGACGGUACCUGAAGAAUAAGCACCGGCUAACUACGUGCCAGCAGCCGCGGUAAUACGUAGGGUGCAAGCGUUAAUCGGAAUUACUGGGCGUAAAGCGUGCGCAGGCGGUUUUGUAAGUCUGUCGUGAAAGCCCCGGGCUCAACCUGGGAAUUGCGAUGGAGACUGCAAGGCUUGAAUCUGGCAGAGGGGGGUAGAAUUCCACGUAGCAGUGAAAUGCGUAGAGAUGUGGAGGAACACCGAUGGCGAAGGCAGCCCCCUGGGUCAAGAUUGACGCUCAUGCACGAAAGCGUGGGGAGCAAACAGGAUUAGAUACCCNNGUAGUCC